Molecule: ribosomal RNA, 699 nt
Filed under: uncultured bacterium
Lineage: Bacteria
Description: bacterial SSU rRNA
Rfam family: Bacterial small subunit ribosomal RNA
Source: RNAcentral
ACACACGGAUAACAUACCGAAAGGUAUGCUAAUACGGGAUAAUAUAUUUGAGAGGCAUCUCUUAAAUAUCAAAGGUGAGCCAGUACAGGAUGGACCCGCGUCUGAUUAGCUAGUUGGUAAGGUAACGGCUUACCAAGGCAACGAUCAGUAGCCGACCUGAGAGGGUGAUCGGCCACAUUGGAACUGAGACACGGUCCAAACUCCUACGGGAGGCAGCAGUGGGGAAUAUUGCACAAUGGGCGAAAGCCUGAUGCAGCAACGCCGCGUGAGUGAUGAAGGCCUUCGGGUCGUAAAACUCUGUCCUCAAGGAAGAUAAUGACGGUACUUGAGGAGGAAGCCCCGGCUAACUACGUGCCAGCAGCCGCGGUAAUACGUAGGGGGCUAGCGUUAUCCGGAUUUACUGGGCGUAAAGGGUGCGUAGGCGGUCUUUCAAGUCAGGAGUGAAAGGCUACGGCUCAACCGUAGUAAGCUCUUGAAACUGGGAGACUUGAGUGCAGGAGAGGAGAGUGGAAUUCCUAGUGUAGCGGUGAAAUGCGUAGAUAUUAGGAGGAACACCAGUUGCGAAGGCGGCUCUCUGGACUGUAACUGACGCUGAGGCACGAAAGCGUGGGGAGCAAACAGGAUUAGAUACCCUGGUAGUCCACGCUGUAAACGAUGAGUACUAGGUGUCGGGGGUUACCCCCUUCGGUGCCGCAGCUA